Molecule: long non-coding RNA, 1325 nt
Organism: Diabrotica virgifera virgifera (western corn rootworm)
Lineage: Eukaryota; Metazoa; Arthropoda; Insecta; Coleoptera; Chrysomelidae
Exons: 2
Source: RefSeq, a predicted model, not a curated record
GGUCACGUUACGAAAUUAGCUCUUUAAUUAUUAUUAUAAUUAUUUUUCCUCGGUCUCCAUUUAAAUUCUCUAAUUUCUCGUAUAGGACUACUGGGGUGACGUCAUACCUCGGUGAUGGAACGUACUCCACCUAUCGAGAAUGAUUUCGUUUUCUGAGAGAAUUUGACGUUUACCUUGGCGGAGAAACGCCUCUCGUUCUUUACUUGACUGUGAGCUGUGGUGUCGAAUAGAUAUACCAUAUAGAAUGGCGGAUGAUUUCCUCCAACUUAUUUUAUCACAUAAGAAAUUUAACGUAAAGUAAAAAGUUACCACCAGGGAUUGUCUGGAGUGAGGAGACAUGUGGGUGACAACUCCUGUUGGAGUAUAAAUAGGAAUCAUUCGCCAUUUGGGAGAAACCCUACCAUGAAGUCAUAGACCUUAUUUGACCACCUAGAGAAACCACUACAGCCACAGUCAAGUCAUCAUGGGAAUACGUCUUUUUGGGAACAAGCUAUGGGAGCGUUCCAGCUCAAUUUUCGUCUUGGCACCUGGGCCUACAGGAGUCAUGGGGUCGCACCAUCCUGGUGCAUCAUUUUCUAGGAUGUAACCGCAACCUCGUUUGGGAACAUUUAGUGAGGUGUUUUAGUAACUAUUGGUUUUUUUUUAUAUUUCAGACUAUCUGUUAAAUACACUAUGUUUUUUUUCCAGAUUUAGGUUACCUCUGGUUUUUUUUUGACAUAUUUGUAUAUUAGAUUAUUUGGUUCCCAAACUUUGUAUCUACGGUAACUUCUUGUGCACAGGAAUAAGCCUAGAGAAAAUUAGGUUUUUAAUACUUUAUUAUUGCUUUGAUAUUGGUUUAUGUAAUUCGGGUAAAUUUAUUUUGUAAUAUUACUAGCUUGUUUCCCAAAUAUUUUACUGUUAUUCGCUUUAUUCCGUUUGUUCGGUUAAUUUAGGUCAUCGUCGGUAUUUAUCUCAACUUCAUUUCUACUUUAUUCAUUGUAUAUCUAACUUUGCUUAAUUCAUUUAGUAUUUUCCCUUAGUUAGGCUCAUGCCUAUUUACAUAUAUUUAUUUAUAUUACUUUUAAUAUUCAUCGGUUUUCCUUUAGUUGUACGUAGCAGGCGUACUAUAACCAUUUGGUAGAAGACUUAUGUAAUUUUGUACCCUAUAUGUUAGUGAAAGGUAUUUAUACCUGUAAUUUUGUAACAGGUAACAUUGUUGUUAUCUUAGGUUGAACAUAACUUUUGCAAACUUUUGUCAUGUUAGAGUCACAUAAUAUGAACUUGUUUAACUCAGAGAUUGUUAAAAAUCUGGUAGUUCAUUUUAAUAAAUGUUUAUUUAUUUUGUA